Molecule: microRNA precursor, 112 nt
Filed under: Phlebotomus papatasi
Lineage: Eukaryota; Metazoa; Arthropoda; Insecta; Diptera; Psychodidae
Description: mir-7 microRNA precursor
Source: RNAcentral
GGGUCUUCCUCAGUAGGAUGAGAAUGAUUUCUUUAUUUUAUUUUAUAAGAUUGUCCAUGAAGAAGAUUUAUCUAAAAUAAAGAAAUCAUUCUCAGCCCACUGAGGAAGACCC